Molecule: ribosomal RNA, 253 nt
Filed under: uncultured bacterium
Lineage: Bacteria
Description: partial 16S ribosomal RNA
Rfam family: Bacterial small subunit ribosomal RNA
Source: RNAcentral
UCCACGCCGUAAACGAUGUCAACUAGCCGUUGGGAGUCUUGAACUCUUAGUGGCGCAGCUAACGCAUUAAGUUGACCGCCUGGGGAGUACGGCCGCAAGGUUAAAACUCAAAUGAAUUGACGGGGGCCCGCACAAGCGGUGGAGCAUGUGGUUUAAUUCGAAGCAACGCGAAGAACCUUACCUGGCCUUGACAUGCUGAGAACUUUCUAGAGAUAGAUUGGUGCCUUCGGGAACUCAGACACAGGUGCUGCAU